GGAACACUACCUCAUCCCCCAGUACUCUCUCGGUCUCUCCUCUCCUCUCCACUCACCCAACCUCUCUCGCUCCCGGUCUGCCCUCCCUCCCCCCGGCGCAUCCGCCGCGCGUGUCGAUGAGCUCCUGCCGCAACCGCGCGACUCCGACCAUCGACCACCGCAUCUGCCGCAUGCAUCGGCAAGUUGCCGCGCGAGGAAGAUCGCCACUGGUCCCGCAGCAGCCUUAGUUGGAGGAGGACGAUAGGUCCAUGGCGACGGAUGCUCAAGUAAGAGGAGCGGCCCCAAUGGUGGCGGCCUCGAGCACCAGGAUAAGUGCAAGCUGGGGAUGCAGGAGAGGUGCAGCGCGGGGCUCGGGGCUCCGACGAGCUGGGUGCGGCGCGACGGACGACGAUGGACGCAGGGACACGUUGAUCCGGGCGCGGGUGCUCAAUCCGGUCCCGUUCCGGCCGGAUCCGCGGCGGUGCUCAUCUCCGGCGAGGUGGCCGGUGACUCGCGGGACGACGGCGGCGCAAGACCACGGGAGGAGCUCAUCUCAUGGGGCUAGGGCGCGAGGUCCUGUUGGCUUCGGUUGCCGGUGGCUUGACGCAGGGGUGGCGGGGGUCCGGCAUCAUGGAGGCUCUUCGAGGGCGAGGAAGCAGACGGCCACGGCAACUUUGAGGCCGGCGGGGGCACCGUCUCCGCGUUCGAUGGUCGUGGUGAAUGUCGCGGGCUCCAACGCGGCCGCCGUUGGCUCUAUCCCCUAUAGAGUAGUAAAGCUACUCUGCUGAAACCACAAAUUCAGAGAUCAUAAGCGGGCGGAGGCAGUCCGGUACGUCGGCAAUCCUCUCCUGGCCUUCCGAAUUCCUGGCCAACGCAGCAAGCCCAUCAGCAAGGGCAUUGCACAAUCUCCCCACGCUACUGCUUCCCUGUCAUCAGUUCCUUAAUCCGAAUUUGGCAAUCAAGUUCCAAAAUCACGGGGCCCUGUAGAUCCUUGAGAGCAUGAAACCCAAUGAGGGCUGCUUUUGCUUCGGCCUCCUCAACACCUGCGACAACACCUGCAGAAUAUUCAGAAUAAAUCGCAAGAACUGCACAACAUUCAGAUAAAAAUAACAACAUGCCCUUUGCUGUCCCUUGCGACGGCACCUGCAGAAUAUUCACCCAUUUCCUCCAAGUACGAGGCUACAGAAUUUAGUUUGAUUGAUCCCAAGGCCAGCCCUGUCCAAUGCAAGUGCUGCGUGGUGGGGCAGCAGGGCUGCUGUACCACAAUUGCACCCACACCUUUUCCUGCUUCAUGAUCGCCACUCAUUACCGCUGAUUUAAAUUCUUCAGAAUACCUCGCAAGAACUGCACAGAUUCCAUAAUCGAUUCUUUGCCCACACUGCGAAUGCAGUCCUCACGCAGGCACAACCUUUUUUUUUGGUAUUCAUACAGAUCAGUUUGUAUACUUUGCAGAUUGCUUGGCAAUUUUUGUAUCUAUUCAUGUCACUGUCAUAGCGGGUUAGUUUCCGAUGCUUGACGGAUGAAUUAUCUGUAUAUUUUUCAGUCCAACAAUUCAGUGCGCUCUUAGCGCUUUGGUGUCUUUGGUUUAAUCGCAAAGUGUGUACACUUGGUAUCGGUUCUGUCAAAAUGAAUACGGCAAUAACUUGGUUGGAAAAGGAACUACAACAUAGCAGUGGGCACUCAGGGAAUGUCAAUGCACAAAAGGACACCAUUGUUAACACAAAACAAAGUUCUUCUAGUACCUCAACAAAAAUGCACCCGAUCCUCUAGAUUUCAAUAGAAGGACUCUAAAUUUAUGUCACUCUGAAAGUCACAUCUCUCCAUCUCCAUGAACAAAUCACAUCACAGGAACAUUCCAUCUAGUAUGAAACUUCAGACAGGGAAAUAGAUUGAAAUUAAAUUCCAAUCUGGGUGGCUGCCACCUCUGAGAUAUCCACCCUUACAAACGACCAAUCCUCUGAUUUUUGUUGUUGCAAACUGCACUAAAGAGCUUUUUGAAUCGCGUGGUCGAUCAAAAGGCCGUGGAAAAAUAUCCCAAACAAUAUCGAUAGAUUGAUGUGCAGACGUGAACAUAUUUAAAGGGCGGGGAAGACGAACCAGCGGUAGUCUUCUCUGUGAUCAUUUGCGUAGCCACCUUCUUGACCUCAUCUUCUGUGAGCAUCCCAUCAAUGUUCAUGUUCCACCUGUUAAUGUGAGACACCCAAAGGAAAAAAUUUAUCAGUAUGUUAGAUUGACUUAAACUGAACAUAGCUUAGUCCAAGAUGUGGUCAGUAAUCUCCGUCUAGACCUCUCUGAGCCGAUCCUUGUUAAUGCCUUCAUCCGGCUCAAUGUUCCUCUGCCUCGACAUAUCCCGAACAGCUUGUCAGCAAACUCCUUGGAGUUCUCCAUGCCUUGGAUCUGAGAAGCAUGCCCAAUAAAAAGUUUAACAAUUAAAUGGCACUGCAAAAGUAAUUAGAAAGUCUAACACAUUUGCACAAUUACUGUAUUAUGAAACCUGUAAAAACUCAGUUACUGGACGAGCAUACAAACUGAAAAUCCUACUGUUUUAUAUAAUCUUCACAUUCCAUUCAUCAAGCAGAUAGUAGCAAUCAUUCUAAUAAUUUGAAUCAAAACUUGGAGACUCCCAAUUAUGAAAAGCACAAGCGUUGAACAAAUUAAGUUGGCUGAGAUGGUUGUGCCCUCCAAUUGCAGUCUGAUGGAUCGCGGGUUCUAGUCCCCUUGUUCGCGACAUAUUUUUCUCAAUCUCCACCUUUGUUUUCCGCCAUCAAUCAUUAAAAAACCAGGAGUGCGGGCAAUCAAGGGAUUUACCGGGAGUGCGGGUGAUCACAGGAUUAGUGGGGACGUAAGCAAACAAGGAAAAAUAAGGCAGUUCGAGCGGACGUACAACCAACAUAGGAUUCAGAUCCGAUGGCAAAGGAUCCGUUCGGAUCUAUUGCAGAAUUCCUGUGUUUAGAUUUUUUGCGUUUUUUAUAAAAAUAUUUUAUAUAUUAAUAUUAAACACAUAUAAACAAGAGUGGAACAAACCGAACUGUUUUUUCCACCCACACAGCCUUGCCCCCUCCUAAAAAAAGUCUUAUCCCCUAAAAUGGCAUGCUUAUCCUCGAUGCACAUGACAGCGGCUAGUUCCUCUCACUCUCUCCCCCUCACAGCCACUCCAGUCCAUGGCGCCCCUCCCAUCGACGGCGUCGCCCGACCCUUCCUCUCCCCGUCAGGGCGUUGCCCCGCCAUCUCUCCUCCACGCCACAGCUCCGCCCGCACGAUCCUCUCCCCGCGACGGCGUCGCCGGCCUCCUUCUCUCCCCGUCAACAUCUCGCGCCGCCGUGUCAACGCCAAUCCCGCGCGCCCGCUGGUCUGGCAUCCUAGGCAGCCAGAACCGGAUGGUAGUUGCAGAAGGGCUCACGGCUCUCCGUACAUGCCGGCCACGUAGCUGUACCGUCCGGAUGUGGGUGGGAAGACCACGGCGCCCUUGUCGUCGAGCCCGGUCUUCUACCCCACUCAAACUGCGCUGAGCACAGUCGCGCUACCGCCUCGUCGAUCUCCAUGACAGGCCACCCCAGGCCGAUAGGGCAUUACUCAAGUGAGCUGAUGAAGUAAGAGGAAUCCAGAGGCGUGGGAUUUGCACUGUGUAUCACUUUAAGCAUGGUUGGCCGCAUCGUUGGCUCCUCUUGAAAGCACAUGUACUACUUGCACCAAGAGUUCUGCAGCAAGAAUUUAACAGUCGAAAAACCGUAUCAACUAUAUGUAUGCCCCAAUGCGAUCAACAACAAGAAAUUAUGCUCGCAAUUACCUGGCACUGGCACUGGAGUCAUUCGGGAAGGAUGCUCAAGAUUAGGAAUGUCACCAAGAGGGGCUCGGCUAGAGUUAUCACCAAGAGGGGAUCGGCACAGAUUUGUCGCCUCCAUAUCUUCAAGCGUCAUGGUCUGUCGGCGCUUGUAACGAAAUAAAAUAAACCAUUAUUAUUUCUGUGAACUGUACACAUUAAAUAUAUACCGGGCCAAAAUCUAACUUUGAAGCAUGCGAUCAGGUUUUUGACCAGGUAUAUUUGUCUUGAAUGGAAGGACAAACACAAAGAACCAUUACAUCAAGAAGCUAUCAGGCUUGAGGGCCUCACAUAUUUUCAUGACGCUUUCUGAAUAUGAGCCAGAGCUAUUUCCUAGUCUGAUUUCUCCUGGGUGUACUCUGCUUUCUGGUGUCUGAUUUGAUGACAAGAAUAUUGUGUCGACGGUCAGCGCCUGGAUUGUAAAUUGGACUUGAAAGCAAUAGCUCUCUAGGCACGCAAUGCAGAUUAUAACCCCAAGGUAAAAUCAUUAUCCUAAUGCAUUCUUCAUGAUGUUGGCUUUUCCCCCUUACUGGGCCUGUGAUGCUAUAUUUCCAAAAACAUCCAAAUUUUAUCACUUUGCUAGCAUCCACAUGUCUUUGUGAAUCCUGCUGUGUAGAUGGUGGAUAGCCUGGUAAAAGAGUAGAGACUUUGUACAUGGGUUCUUUUGUGUAUGUACCCUUCUGAAUUUGUGCUCAUUCGCUGAGAAAUUAGAGAACACCAGCUUACUAAAUAAUUUUUGAUCGAAUGGUGAGUUGAGACUCUCUACCUGACUGCCUUUUAGGCUUUAGCAUGAGGGUAAAGGUUAUUCAAGCAUAUAAACGGUCAACUAAUAAUAUGAAGGGUUAUACCACAGAAAAGUCAUUAUACCUGGAAGCUGACAAUCAAGCAAUAACCUUAGGGAAUCUACAACUAAAGCAUGCAUGACAUCCACCUAAACAAAAUUUAGACAUGUACUCCCUCCGUCCCAUAAUGUAAGACGUUUUUUGACACUAGUGUAGUGUAAAAAAACGUCUUACAUUAUGGGACGAAGGGAGUACAUUGCACACACAUAUUUCAGCAUACAUUGAGCCAAAAAAAUCACACACCGUGGCCUUCUACCCUACUACUUGCUGAACAAAAUUCAUUCGUCGCACACAUUAGCCUGUUGCAGUACUACUUGCUGAAGCUGCUGAGAACGCACAAUCAACAAGAACAACACAAAAUCGUGAAAGAGAGGGUCGAUGACUCGAGGUAAUCAGUUACCAUGUCUAAUUGUGAUCUGGUGGGGAAGAGAAGCUGGAUUGGCAAGGAAGAGAAGCUCCAGCCAGCGACAAGGAAGAGAAGUAAGACCCCAACGGCGGUGCUGAAUCAGAGAAGGAUCCAGCAGUGCAAUGCGGUGGCAGUGGAAGCGGCACGAUCCAGUAGUGCAUGGCGGCGGCGGCACAACAGGAGUAGUGCGCGGCCUCUCCUCCCCGACGGAACCGGCGCCCCACCUGCCUCUCUGAUGGUACCACACACCCGCAACAUCCCUCUUCCCUCCAGUACAUAAUUAGCAAUUGCAUCAACCAGGCAUCAAUUGUUCUAAAUCAUCCAUCAAACCAUAUUCUAGGGACUAAUAGAAAGUUACCUUUUGAGGCAAAAGCUUCAGCUCAAACAUGAUGAAUUUUGGCCUGAAUCUUGGCUAACUCAUCUCCUUUCUUUUGUCCCCCAUAGUCUUCUCUCUCCCUGGCUAUUUCCCCUAGAUGUGUUAGCACAGGAGUAGCAGCUCACCUCUCAAGGCCCCUCUCUCUGCUCCAUCGCAUCUGUGAUCCACUUCUAUAAAUGCGGGCAGACAACAUCACCUAAUCUUGCAUAAUCUAAACCAAGACCGCAUCAAAGAACCAGGUUAGAAUCAAAGGAGGGAGACAGGAGGGAAGUAAAUGCAUAAUCAGUUAUCUGCUUGUAACUCAAGGAAUUAUACCGCAACAUUUCCUCAAGUGCAGGCAAACUCGAAUGAUGUGCCGCUUGAUGAAACAUCUGCUUUUAACUCCGGAACUCAUGCUUCAGCAUAUGUUCCAUUGUGGGAUAAUCCUACACUUGGGAGGCAAGCCCAAGAUCACAUGAAGGUGUCAUUUGCAUUGCAACUGAACACUACAUAUCAGUAGUUCAGAUGUUUCCUCUUUGAUCACAUGAAGGCCCAUUCUUUAUCCCAUCUGCUUGCAGCGUCCCUAAAAAAAUCCCCUAGCAGCAUACAUCGUGCGCCUCCGCCGCCAGCCCACAACGGAGUCCCGGCCGCCGGCUCCCCGGUGCUCUCCGCCUCCCCGAAAGGCCGUUUCUCACCACCUUCCCGUACUCGCCGGCUCUUCGCACCUCCGAGGUCUCAGCUCUCCCAAAGAUCCUCUCCAACUCGGAGUUCCUCGCGUAGGGCACCGGCUCACACCGGCGUGCGGAGGCGAGGCAUGCCGCCGCUCCUCCGACCAGCCAACCAUAGCGGCGUGGCUCCUUUGACAAGCGGAGGGGCUCUCCUCUCCCACUGGUCGGCCUUGACUUCGACUCCUACAGCUGCACCUCGACUUCAGGUCACACCGGCCAGCAUUCUCCAUUGCCAAAUCUUAACCAUACCGAGUUCCUCCGACCAUCGUCGUGAAUCUCCAAUCAGAUAAGUCAGCCUUCAUGUGUAUCGCCCUUUAUAUCUCCACUCCGUUCCUCUUUGUUUUGAUAUAUAUCUCCACUCUGUUCUGAUUGUCAGGAAGAAGGUGGAUUGGUGGCCGUUUCCAGUAUGUACAUGGGACGACAACGGUUGGUUCCUUGGUUGAAGGAUGCAAUGCAUCUCGCUGAAUUGCAAGUUGUACUAUUUUGGGUCUGCCUAGAUACCCAAGCAGGGGAGAUAAAAGCUACAAGUUGGGAAGAAAAGCCAGGGAUGAUUCUCAGUGGUACUCUUUACUUGGUAUUUGAUGAUUACUCUUUACUUGGUACAAGGUUCUUGAUGAUUUUAAUAGUCUGACCCUGCUGUAGAAAGCACUUCACAUACAUGCCUGGAUGUGUUCGAGAUGCAUUGCAGUGUGUAUUCAUAGGUGGCCACGAAGGGCGACUAAAAGUAAUUCUGGGGAUCGAAAUCAGAUCGAGAUGCAUCUGCCUGAAUAUAAAAUAUAAGGCAAAGUUCAAUGUGUGCCCCAUCAUUGGCCCUGAUCUCUCUAUCUUCUUAGCCCUCCCAGUGCCCGGCCACUUUCAGUGGUUCUCCACUAAUUUCUCCUCUUUACCAAUCGAAUACGUUCAUCUAAUUCAUGUUUUAUAACAAAAAGAGGGGCCAUGCAGAUUAAUUCUUUACAUCGGCUCAAGUCUUAUUACUAGAAAUUGAUCUUUCUUCUCAAUUGAUUUAUCUAAUGUGGUUGUAGGACUUGCAGCCAAUAUAAAGAGAAGGAGAUUUUUCUUCCAAAUGCUAUAGUUGCACUUCACAUCAUUGGGAUCGUGGAUGUUGAUACCAAUUGGAUGUGCUCCCGUGUUGUCCCAAGUGCAGCAAUUUCUCGCUGAUGCAUCAGGCAAAGAUUUUUUUACCCAAAAGGCAAAGAUACAUAGCUAGCAGUUUAUCAGCGGAUGACUCUUGCUUUGUUGAUUGUUGUGCUUAAUCAAUAUCCUUACAGGUAACUCACAUGCCACCAUGAUCCAGUAUGAUAUUUGUUCAAAUGUAUAACAUACAUAUCUAUUUUUUCUUUCUAUGCUUGCACAUCUCCGAAGUCUAGACCAGAAUGCUGCUUUUAAUUAUGUUGGCUAUGCAUGCAUGUAAUGUGUGUUGUACAACUAUUUAGUAAAGCGUUCAUUGUAUUCUUUGCACAUGCCAUUUCCAACCUCUUCGAAAGCAUAUAUGUCAACCUGCUACUAAUCCAUACGUUUUAUAUACUUACAUUACUAUAUUUAUAAUUUAUUAUUAUUUUGGAACAGUUUCUGGGUAUAUCAGGACGUACCAAGUCAGUUUGAUAGAACUGAUUUGUGAACCCAGAUUAAUUGCAGAGCCAUACCUAAUUUUCAAAAGACUUGAGGGCUUUAAUAGACAGUGGGGCCUUUUUCCUCUAAUCAAUGUAGAAGUAUUUGAUCUUGCCUCAAAAAAGGUUACAUUGCCCUAGAUUAUAUGUGAAAAUUUAGUUAGCUUAUUUGUGUAUAAAUUAUGAAGAAUAAAACUAUGUUAUAAUCUGAAAAGAAAAUGUAUAGAGACAAGUAGAAAGUAAUGUGGAUUCGAACUACCCCGGUUAUAUAUUAAGACUAUUACAUCAUUGACCUUGCCGCGAACUCUGGAUAUUCUCGACUCUAGGUCCACAAAGUUCGUGUAUGCCAUACCUCUAAAAGUAAUGUUAGUGUUAUGAUUCAUUAGUAAAGCUUCUCCUCUAUUCAGAUUGAAUCUGAGAAGCCUAACAGCGAGCAAAUUCCUCUGUGUUGCUUCAGUUAUAUGGCUCGAGCUGGCCAAACCUGAAAACUUCAGUGAAGAGUGAAAGUACAUCUAAAGUACUUUCUGUUACCUACAAUCCUAUUACUUGAUUUUUAUGCUACUGUGCGUAUGGGUGAAUCUGCAAGAUGAUGCAAAAAUUUGCUUGCAGAUAGCAUGUGUGUAUGUGUACAGAUAUGCAUGUUGUAUGUUUAUAUCAAUUUUGCAACAUUGAUAUUUGUUCAGAUGGUUCUAAAUAGUUCUUCAGUGAAGAUUAAGAGUACAUCUACAUUACAUUUUGUUGCCUACCCUAUUAAAUGAUUUUUUUUGCUAAUUGUGUGUAUGGGUAAAUCUGCAAGAUGAUGCAAAAAAUUGCUUGCAGAUAGUCUGUAUGUGUACACAGAUGCUUCUAAGCAGUGCUCUAGCAGAAUAGUGCUCCCCUUUCCUUACUGUUGUUGCUAAAUAUUUGUUUUUUGUGGCAUAUGAGGACUGAACAGUAUCAGGCCAUCGACCUCACCCUGGGAGUCCACUUCUUCACGGUCACGACAUCCACCUUGACAUCCCUAUUUUGUGUUGUUUAGUUGCAUGUGGUUCAUGCAAACUUCCUGAAGCAUUUUAUUGAAAUUGGAUAGAACUGAGAAAAUCUAUGUAUACGUACAAUUUUGUUUUCCUUUUUCUAGCAGUUGAGUUCCAGAGACGAAUGGGGAUUGGGGAGGUGAACUUUGAGCUGGAACUCUCUAUGUGUUCUUGCAAUCAUAAUGCCGGGGGAUUAUAAGACAACAUACAGUUUGUUCAUUUUCUUUUGGAGUUCAUUCGCCGCGAGGAAAAAAUCUACUUGCUGCCUGAGAACCAAAGCCACAAUAGAUCAAGUUACUUGGUCGGAAGAAAUUGUCAAGGGCUGCAGCUUACACAUGAUCGGGGGUGGCGAUCUUAGUCUAUCUCACCUGAGUUACAUGUUAUAAAAAAUAGUAUAGAUGUAGAACAACCUACAGUAUAAUUGUACGUCUCAACUAUCUGUCAUAUGUCUUACUAACAUACCUUUUUUUGAACCGGUCUUAUUAUUAUAUUUUUUUGAAGCGGUCUUACUAUUAUA
Molecule: long non-coding RNA, 9267 nt
Organism: Triticum aestivum (bread wheat)
Lineage: Eukaryota; Viridiplantae; Streptophyta; Magnoliopsida; Poales; Poaceae
Exons: 10
Source: RefSeq, a predicted model, not a curated record